RNAcentral lists this long non-coding RNA (770 nucleotides) under Rattus norvegicus (Norway rat). RNAcentral's name for it is "long non-coding RNA NONRATT026948". The record is from RNAcentral. Lineage: Eukaryota; Metazoa; Chordata; Mammalia; Rodentia; Muridae.
GGCCUCUAGCCCAGUCCUGCUUGCUGCUGGAGUGAGGCCCAGUUUUUGUUUGAAGUCACGUUUGCCUAUGAUGGGAAUUCAAGGAGAUUCUGUUGCUGCUGCUGCUGCUGCUGAACUCAAAGUCCGCAGAGAGCUCUCACACUGUACAGGUGCCAAGCCUGAACACAUGUCUGCUGUUCACUGUACGAGGCAAGCUGGAGCCUGAGGGAAGUACAUCCGGGGGAGGCUGCUGUUAAAAGCCUGCGUAGCUCCAUUUCACGUUGAUCUUGCUGAAGCUUUAGCAAACGUCUUCUUGCAGCAUCCUAUUUCCACAACAGUAGACUGCACCUGUCCCUGCUGGGUCAUGUGACCUGCACCUGUGUCCCUGCUGGACCAUGUGACCUGCACCUGUGUCUCUGCUGGACCAUGUGAACUGCACCUGUGUCUCUGCUGGACCAUGUGAACUGCACCUGUGUCUCUGCUGGACCAUGUGACCUGCACCUGUGUCUCUGAUGGGUCAUGUGACCUGCACCUGUGUCUCUGAUGGGUCAUGUGGACUGCACCUGUGUCUCUGAUGGGUCAUGUGAACUGCACCUGUGUCUCUGCUGGGCCAUCUUCUCCUCCUCUUGAAGAAGCAUCUCUCUUCUUGUCUCCUCAGCUCUACGGAGCAUCUCUUGCUUCUGGUACCACGCCUCAUCCUUAGCUCUCUGCUCAUCCACUUCAGCUUGCAUAUUUUCAACUGUCUGCCUUAAGUAGACACAAUGUUUACUAUUAUGAAAAUGCAAACAAGA